Molecule: non-coding RNA, 182 nt
Filed under: Verrucomicrobiota bacterium
Lineage: Bacteria; Pseudomonadati; Verrucomicrobiota
Description: Verrucomicrobia bacterium (hot springs metagenome) 6S RNA
Rfam family: 6S / SsrS RNA
About the family: E. coli 6S RNA was the first non coding RNA to be sequenced, but its function was unknown until recently.
Source: RNAcentral
AAUACCCUGCCAUGUUCGUGAACAACGAAGUUUCUUUGAGCCAACACCGGUUGUAAACGGAGCUCGGAGUUCGGUUGCCAGCGGCACACCCCGCAAGGGGCAGCCAGAAAACAGCCGACAGAGCGUCCCCUUUGAUAAGGGGUUCAAAGACAUCGUUCAAACGGCAUUACGGCGGGGUAUUU